RNAcentral lists this ribosomal RNA (477 nucleotides) under uncultured bacterium. Its description in RNAcentral is "partial 16S ribosomal RNA". It matches the Rfam family "Bacterial small subunit ribosomal RNA", at positions 28 to 506 of the family's 1533-position model. The record is from RNAcentral.
GAUGAACGCUGGCGGCGUGCUUAACACAUGCAAGUCGAACGAGAAAUGGAGACGGAAACCUUCGGGCGGAAGGCUUCAUUUCGAGUGGCGGACGGGUGAGUAACGCGUGGGUAACCUGCCUCAUACAGGGGGAUAACAGUUGGAAACGACUGUUAAUACCGCAUAAGACCACAGCACCGCAUGGUGCGGGGGUAAAAACUCCGGUGGUAUGAGAUGGACCCGCGUUCGAUUAGCCAGUUGGCGGGGUAACGGCCCACCAAAGCGACGAUCGAUAGCCGAUCUGAGAGGAUGACCGGCCACAUUGGGACUGAGACACGGCCCAAACUCCUACGGGAGGCAGCAGUGGGGAAUAUUGCACAAUGGGGGAAACCCUGAUGCAGCGACGCCGCGUGAGUGAAGAAGUACUUCGGUAUGUAAAGCUCUAUCAGCAGGGAAGAAAAUGACGGUACCUGAGGAAGAAGCCCCGGCGAACUACGU